GAUGAAUGCUGGCGGCGUGCCUAAUACAUGCAAGUCGAGCGAACGGACGAGAAGCUUGCUUCUCUGAUGUUAGCGGCGGACGGGUGAGUAACACGUGGAUAACCUACCUAUAAGACUGGGAUAACUUCGGGAAACCGUAGCUAAUACCGGAUAAUAUUUUGAACCGCAUGGUUCAAAAGUGAAAGACGGUCUUGCUGUCACUUAUAGAUGGAUCCGCGCUGCAUUAGCUAGUUGGUAAGGUAACGGCUUACCAAGGCAACGAUGCAUAGCCGACCUGAGAGGGUGAUCGGCCACACUGGAACUGAGACACGGUCCAGACUCCUACGGGAGGCAGCAGUAGGGAAUCUUCCGCAAUGGGCGAAAGCCUGACGGAGCAACGCCGCGUGAGUGAUGAAGGUCUUCGGAUCGUAAAACUCUGUUAUUAGGGAAGAACAUAUGUGUAAGUAACUGUGCACAUCUUGACGGUACCUAAUCAGAAAGCCACGGCUAACUACGUG
RNAcentral lists this ribosomal RNA (497 nucleotides) under uncultured bacterium. RNAcentral's name for it is "partial 16S ribosomal RNA". It matches the Rfam family "Bacterial small subunit ribosomal RNA", at positions 28 to 507 of the family's 1533-position model. The record is from RNAcentral.